AAGUCGUAACAAGGUCUCCGUUGGUGAACCAGCGGAGGGAUCAUUGCUGGAACGCGCCCGGCUCGCCCGGGAACCCUGCGAACUCAUACCUACCGUUGCCUCGGCGCAGGCCGGCCUCUCCUGAGGCCCCUCGGAGACGAGGAGCAGCACGCCGGCGGCCCGCCCAACCCUUGUUUUUACACCGGAACUCUGAGCAACACACACAAAUGAAUCAAAA
Molecule: unclassified non-coding RNA, 217 nt
Filed under: plant metagenome
Description: partial contains small subunit ribosomal RNA and internal transcribed spacer 1
Rfam family: Eukaryotic small subunit ribosomal RNA (bases 1-46)
Source: RNAcentral